AGUAGAGUGGCGGACGGGUGAGUAACGCGUGGGAAUCUACCCAGUAGUGGGGGACAACUACCGGAAACGGUAGCUAAUACCGCAUACGCCCUAUGGGGGAAAGGCUUCGGCCGCUAUUGGAUGAGCCCGCGUCAGAUUAGCUAGUUGGUAGGGUAAAGGCCUACCAAGGCAACGAUCUGUAGCUGGUCUGAGAGGACGAACAGCCACACUGGGACUGAGACACGGCCCAGACUCCUACGGGAGGCAGCAGUGGGGAAUAUUGGACAAUGGGCGAAAGCCUGAUCCAGCAAUGCCGCGUGUGUGAAGAAGGCCUGCGGGUUGUAAAGCACUUUCAGUUGGGAAGAUAAUGACGUUACCAACAGAAGAAGCACCGGCUGAAUCCGUGCCAGCAGCCGCGGUAAUACGGAUGGUGCGAGCGUUAAUCGGAAUUACUGGGCGUAAAGCGCGCGUAGGCGGCUAAGUCAGUCAGAAGUGAAAGCCCCGGGCUCAACCUGGGAAUUGCUUUUGAUACUGCUUAGCUAGAGUUUGGUAGAGGAUAGUGGAAUUCCAGGUGUAGCGGUGAAAUGCGUAGAUAUCUGGAGGAACAUCAGUGGCGAAGGCGACUGUCUGGACCAAAGCUGACGCUGAGGUGCGAAAGCAUGGGUAGCAAACAGGAUUAGAUACCCUGGUAG
RNAcentral lists this ribosomal RNA (671 nucleotides) under uncultured Gammaproteobacteria bacterium. Its description in RNAcentral is "bacterial SSU rRNA". It matches the Rfam family "Bacterial small subunit ribosomal RNA", at positions 89 to 793 of the family's 1533-position model. The record is from RNAcentral. Lineage: Bacteria; Pseudomonadati; Pseudomonadota; Gammaproteobacteria.